This 340-nucleotide long non-coding RNA is filed under the name Chloebia gouldiae (Gouldian finch). RNAcentral's name for it is "Erythrura gouldiae (Gouldian finch) lncRNA (ENSEGOG00005004735.1)". The record is from RNAcentral. Lineage: Eukaryota; Metazoa; Chordata; Aves; Passeriformes; Passeridae.
GAAUUCCCAGUCAGAAGAUGAUUCAUUUCACAUUCCUGUAUAGUCCUGAUCUCAUUCUCCUGACAUUGCUAACUAGGAUGCUGAGGAAUUUUAUGUGCUUGGUGGAGAUGGAAAAGGAAGAAAAGCAAGCUGGCCUCCUGAAGAAAGAAGGCAGCAAAUAUUUAAUGGAACUUCUUUUCUGUGAAAGCAUGUUUUGAGUGUUCCUCCUAGACAUCGUCCACAAAUAUCCUAGAUAACAGCUGAUUGCUAUGAUUGGAAACCUGGCUCAUCAAACAGUGUACACUGGGAGAAGCCUGCCUAGGAUAAUAAAUUUUCUUUUGUUUCUGAAAGUCUCUAAGAA